AGAGCGAACGCUGGCGGCAGGCCUAACACAUGCAAGUCGAGCGCCCGUAGCAAUACGGGAGCGGCAGACGGGAUAGUAACACGUGGGAACGCGCCCUUCGGUUCGGAAUAACUCAGGGAAACUUGAGCUAAUACCGGAUACGCCCUUACGGGGAAAGAUUUAUUGCCGAAGGAACGGCCCGCGUCCGAUUAGCUAGUUGGUGAGGUAAUGGCUCACCAAGGCGACGAUCGGUAGCUGGUCUGAGAGGAUGACCAGCAUCACUGGGACUGAGACACGGCCCAGACUCCUACGGGAGGCAGCAGUGGGGAAUAUUGGACAAUGGGCGCAAGCCUGAUCCAGCCAUGCCGCGUGGAUGAUGAAGGCCUUAGGGUUGUAAAGUCCUUUUAACGGGGAAGAUAAUGACGGUACCCGUAGAAUAAGCCCGGCUAACUUCGUGCCAGCAGCCGC
This 447-nucleotide ribosomal RNA is filed under the name uncultured bacterium. RNAcentral's name for it is "SSU rRNA". It matches the Rfam family "Bacterial small subunit ribosomal RNA", at positions 26 to 518 of the family's 1533-position model. The record is from RNAcentral.